AGAAUGAAAGAAGGUUUGGGAAGCACUUACAAUUUCACUGAUCUUUGAUUGAUACAGAAAUACCAAUUUAGAAUCUUAUAAAUGUAAAACAAAAUUGAUCCAGAUGUUCGAGCAGCUAGGGACAAGAACGGUGUUUACAUACCUCAUGAAAGAUUUGUCCAAGAGGAAGCAGAAAAGAAGGUAACCUUCCAAUAUUUCUCUUUAGUGCACUUUAUUAGGUUAUGAUAUGUUGCAUAUUAUAAAUUUUAAAACAGGUCAUUUCCUCGAAUUUUGAAGAGAACUUAACGUUUCUUAUCAAAAAAGGAUACUCUUAAAAAAAAGGAUACUCUUAAUGUAGGCUCUAGGGGAUUGAUUUGAAUUUUAACUUAUA
Molecule: long non-coding RNA, 370 nt
Filed under: Gossypium barbadense (sea-island cotton)
Lineage: Eukaryota; Viridiplantae; Streptophyta; Magnoliopsida; Malvales; Malvaceae
Description: long non-coding RNA (GBAR_LNC003317)
Source: RNAcentral